GAUGAACGCUGGCGGCGUGCCUAAUACAUGCAAGUCGAGCGAACGGACGAGAAGCUUGCUUCUCUGAUGUUAGCGGCGGACGGGUGAGUAACACGUGGAUAACCUACCUAUAAGACUGGGAUAACUUCGGGAAACCGGAGCUAAUACCGGAUAAUAUUUUGAACCGCAUGGUUCAAAAGUGAAAGACGGUCUUGCUGUCACUUAUAGAUUAUCCGCGCUGCAUUAGCUAGUUGGUAAGGUAACGGCUUACCAAGGCAACGAUGCAUAGCCGACCUGAGAGGGUGAUCGGCCACACUGGAACUGAGACACGGUCCAGACUCCUACGGGAGGCAGCAGUAGGGAAUCUUCCGCAAUGGGCGAAAGCCUGACGGAGCAACGCCGCGUGAGUGAUGAAGGUCUUCGGAUCGUAAAACUCUGUUAUUAGGGAAGAACAUAUGUGUAAGUAACUGUGCACAUCUUGACGGUACCUAAUCAGAAAGCCACGGCUAACUACGUG
RNAcentral lists this ribosomal RNA (496 nucleotides) under uncultured bacterium. Its description in RNAcentral is "partial 16S ribosomal RNA". It matches the Rfam family "Bacterial small subunit ribosomal RNA", at positions 28 to 507 of the family's 1533-position model. The record is from RNAcentral.